UCGAACGGUAACAUUUCUAGCUUGCUAGAAGAUGACGAGUGGCGGACGGGUGAGUAAUACUUAGGAAUAUGCCUUUGUGUGGGGGAUAACCAUUGGAAACGAUGGCUAAUACCGCAUAACGUCUUCGGACCAAAGGGGGCCUUGGCUCCCGCGCAAAGAGUAGCCUAAGCGAGAUUAGCUUGUUGGUGAGGUAAAGGCUCACCAAGGCGACGAUCUCUAGCUGUUCUGAGAGGAAGAUCAGCCACACUGGAACUGAGACACGGUCCAGACUCCUACGGGAGGCAGCAGUGGGGAAUAUUGCACAAUGGGGGAAACCCUGAUGCAGCCAUGCCGCGUGUGUGAAGAAGGCCUUCGGGUUGUAAAGCACUUUCAGUUGUGAGGAAAGGUUAACGGUUAAUACCCGUUAGCUGUGACGUUAGCAACAGAAGAAGGACCGGCUAACUCCGUGCCAGCAGCCGCGGUAAUACGGAGGGUCCGAGCGUUAAUCGGAAUUACUGGGCGUAAAGCGCACGCAGGCGGUUUGUUAAGCUAGAUGUGAAAGCCCUGGGCUCAACCUGGGAAUUGCAUUUAGAACUGGCAGGCUAGAGUUUUGGAGAGGGGAGUGGAAUUCCAGGUGUAGCGGUGAAAUGCGUAGAUAUCUGGAGGAACAUCAGUGGCGAAGGCGACUCCCUGGUCAGUAACUGACGCUCAUGUGCGAAAGUGUGGGUAGCGAACAGGAUUAGAUACCCUGGUAGUCCACACCGUAAACGCUGUCUACUAGCUGUUUGUGGAUUUAAUCCGUGAGUAGCGAAGCUAACGCGAUAAGUAGACCGCCUGGGGAGUACGGCCGCAAGGUUAAAACU
RNAcentral lists this ribosomal RNA (842 nucleotides) under Alteromonadaceae bacterium ACEMC 8-7. Its description in RNAcentral is "bacterial SSU rRNA". It matches the Rfam family "Bacterial small subunit ribosomal RNA", at positions 62 to 901 of the family's 1533-position model. The record is from RNAcentral. Lineage: Bacteria; Pseudomonadati; Pseudomonadota; Gammaproteobacteria; Alteromonadales; Alteromonadaceae.